UUGCAGCCUGGCUUCCACGAAGCUUCCUAGCAAUAACGGAGGCAUUGGCGCAUUGCUUAGCCAGGACACGUCCGUCCACACGCAUACACACCACCAUUACUAGUGAAUCUCUCUGCUCACCACCACUACUCCUCCAUCAAACACCACCAGGCACCAGUCAUCUUGUGUAGCGGCCAGAAGAGAGGGAGAUGGCGGGCCUGGGCGUGGGCGUCGGGACGGGGGCGUUGGGCUCCGUCAUCGGCAAGCUUGCCACCUUGCUCGGCGACGAGUACACGAUGCUCAAGCGGGUGCGCAAGGACAUCGCCUUCCUCCAGCGCGAGCUCAGCCGGAUGCAGAUCCUGGUGGACACACUGGCGGACAUGGAAGAGCUCGACGAGCUGGCCAAGGACUGGAAGGGCAGCAUCCGCGACCUCAGCUAUGACAUGGAGGAGUGCAUCGACCGCUUCAUGCUCCGUCUCGGGAACGGCGACGCCAGGCCCAGGUUCGUGAAGAAGACAGCUCGCAGGCUCAAGACGCUCUUUGAGCGCCAUGGCAUCGGGUCCCAGAUCAAGGACCUCAAGGCCCGCGUCGCCGAGGAGCGUGAACGGAGGCAGAGGCUGAACCUCGACGAUUAUAUGGUAAAUCGAACAAGGCCCGUGGUAAUAGAUCCUCGGCUAGCUGCGUUCCAUGGGGUGGCCAAUGGCUCGGUGGCCAUUGACGACCGCAGGGACCAGGUUAUCUCUUGGUUGACGGCGGAGAGCGAGGAGCUGAAGAUGGUGGCUAUUGUUGGAGGUGGGGGGCUGGGAAAGACCACCCUCGCCAUGGAGACCUAUCGCAGGAUUGGAGGGGACUACCAGUGUCGAGCUUCGGUGUCGGUGUCGCGCACUCUUGAUCUCGAGAAGCUCUUGAAAGAUGUCUUGUCACAAAUCGAUGAAGCUGAAUUUAGUAAGUGCCAGUCGGAGAGGUGGGAGAAAGACCAGCUAAUCCGUCACAUCCAACUGAUCUUGACGGGAAAGAGGUACUUCCUUGUUAUUGACGAUUUAUGGAAAGUACAAGAUUGGGAAUUUAUCAAAGCAGCUUUUCCUGACAAUUAUAAUGGUAGCAGAAUAAUUGCUACUACACGCAUAGCCAAUGUAGCCAGGUCAUGUUGUUCCAACUCUCGUGGUCAGCUCUACCAAAUGCUACCUUUGAAUGAUGUUGAUUCCCGAAGAUUGUUCUUUAAGAGAAUUUUUGACUCAGAAAGUUUAUGCCCUCCUCAACUGGAAAAGGUUUCAGCUAGGAUCUUAAAAAAAUGUGGUGGUAUGCCGUUGGCUAUAAUUACCCUUGCGAGUUUGCUAGCCAAUAAACCUCCAAGCGCAGCUGAAUGGGAGAGACUCCAAGAUUCCAUUGGUGCUGGUCUUUCAUAUGAGAGUGAUGAUGGCGGAAAGGGUAUGGCACAUAUAUUGUUACUUAGUUAUUGGGAUCUCCCACACCACUUGAAGACCUGUUUGUUGUACUUUUGUAUAUAUCCAGAGGAUGCGGAAAUCUCAUGUGAAGAACUGAAAUGGAAAUGGAUAGCCGAAGGGUUUAUUGCUACAAAACAGGGGAAUUUGUAUCAAGAAGCAGAGAGUUGUUUUAAUGAACUUGUCAAUAGAAGCAUGAUCCAGAUAGUUGAUGUUGACAAUUUUGAAGAAACAUUCUGUCAGGUUCAUGAUACAGUGCUUGACCUCAUAAUUUCUCGCUCAGCUGAAGAGAAUUUUGCCACUGUUUUAAACGGUGUCUGCAAUUCGUUGCCAACCAAGAUCCGCCGACUCUCCCUGCAAUCUAGUGAGCUGGAACAGAAAUGGGCAAUCCAAGCUAUCACAAGAAGCAGGUUACAUGUUCGCUCAUUGAAUGUGUUUGGAGAAACAAAGGAGAUACCCCCACAUGUGGACUUCCCGUCUUUGCGUGUGUUUGAUAUAUGUCGGCGUUAUUCCUUGUGGGAAAACAACCUUAUAAUAAAUAUAGGAAGUUGGCCUCAACUGAGGUAUUUGAGAAUUCAACAUUCCGGAAUCACGGUGCUUCCAGAAGAUAUUGGAAAGCUACAGAACUUGGAAACACUUGAUUUGCGGGGCAGUUGUAUUAGAAAACUGCCAUCAACAAUAGCCCGGCUUCAGAAACUGGUGCGCCUAUUCAUUGACGAUAGUCAGUUUGUGUUUUCUGCUGAUAUGUUUGGGAGCAUGCAAGCCCUGGAGGAAGUGUCAGAUAUAUGGAAAAUUGAUAACGAGGAGAAAUUUUGGGAAGAGCUUGAACAUCUAACAAAAUUGAGAAAGAUCUCCAUGAGUAAUGUGUGCUAUUAUCCUGGGCAUUCUGAAUGCUAUAGAGAAAGACUGAGGUCAUCUCUAAAUAAGUUGGGUAAACAUAGCCUUCUGUAUCUUCGUACUAGCGGAGAAAUGGGAAACAUUAUAUUCAGGGAUCCAUGCUGCACCUUUCCGCACCUCCAACAUUUUAAACUGGAUUAUGACAUGGAAAGGGUUCCCAAGGGAAUGGCCUCCCUAAGCAACAUCCGGAAAUUGGAGAUAGCAGUCAGACAAUUUGAUGAGGAAGGUCUCCACAUUCUCAUGAGUAUGCCUUCCCUUGCCUAUCUCCAACUAACGGUAAGGUUUCGUGGCGUCAUGAGCCCCGUGACUAUUAGUAGUAACGGAUUCAAACUCCUAGAGGUGUUCCACUUCCACUGCAACACAUCAUACGGAGAACUGGGGAUAGAAUUUACAACAGGUGCUAUGCCAGCACUCCGACGGCUCCAUCUUUUCUGGCUGGCAUCGAUUGUUACGUUGAGGUCUAGUGAUGGUGCUUGCAUGGGCAUCCAGCAUCUUUCAAGCCUUGUGCAACUCCAGGUCGAAACUAAUUGUACUGGUGCAACCCUGGAGCAGGUGGAGGCCCUGGAGGGUCCCGUUGAAAAAGCAGUCACCUUGCAUCCCAACCGCCAGACUCUUCAGUUCCAUCUCCAUAGAAAAGAUGACCAUAUUAUAUUCGGGGACGACGAGGAGGAAAGGAAGAGGCAAGAAGACCAGGUGAUCUAAGCUACAUGUUUGUUUCUCUGCUGCCAUUUACCACGGCUCAGCAACUUGUCUCCGGAAUACUGAUACUUGUCACCUUAUAUCAUGAGAGCACCAUCGUUGACAGCUUCGGUUUGGUCAGGGCCGUUGAGGGGCAUAUUUUAUACAUAUUUUGGUGGAAGGCGUCAAAGCACUCAAGACAGAGGCAGCCCUUCCCUCCUUCCUUCCUGCAAGGCUUGGUUCAAAACAGAGUCUUCAGCCAAGGAUCUGAAAAUGUACACUUAAACUGAACGUUCGUGGUUUCAGGCUUUCAGUAUCAUCUCGUUUCCUGAUUUAACAACAGUAGUAUCUACUGUAGCAUCCAACCUUUUCCCGAUUAUAAGCGCUAGGUCUUCGUUGGUUCCAAAGAAACCAUAGGAGCCCCAAAAGGGGGGAGGCGUCGAGGAGGAGAAGAAGACACAAACCUCAAGAGAAGGAUGCAAAACUAUGACCUUAGUGUAAAAGCUAGGGUUGGCUGCGUUAAGCGUGUUACCUCUUGGCAGGGACGCCUUCGUGUUUAUAUAGACAAAAGGAUUACAAGAUAUGGCGCAGGUAGUUGGUUUGGUUAUCAACUUGUCCUCUACUCCAAGCUACGUAAAAGAUAGAGAUUAUCCUAGCCAACAACCUGCGCCUCAAUUCUAAUGUACACAAUACGUUACAUUGUCACGAUACAACUACGGCCCUACUCUUUUAACAUCCUCCCUCAAUCUUAACAUGUCAAGGUUCAGAUUGCGCUUGAAGGCCUGUAGUUGCUUCACU
Molecule: RNA transcript, 3794 nt
Organism: Triticum dicoccoides
Lineage: Eukaryota; Viridiplantae; Streptophyta; Magnoliopsida; Poales; Poaceae
Gene name: disease resistance protein RGA5-like
Exons: 4
Source: RefSeq, a predicted model, not a curated record